UGCCAGCCGCCGCGGUAAUACGGGGGGUGCAAGCGUUGUUCGGAAUUAUUGGGCGUAAAGAGCGCGUAGGCGGCCAGAUAAGUCAGAUGUGAAAGCCCGGGGCUCAACCCCGGAAGUGCAUUUGAAACUAUUUGGCUUGAGUAUGGGAGAGGGAAGUGGAAUUCCUGGUGUAGAGGUGAAAUUCGUAGAUAUCAGGAGGAACACCGAUGGCGAAGGCAUCUCUCUGGACCGAUAUUGACGCUGAGGCGCGAAGGCGUGGGUAGCGAACGGGAUUAGAUA
Molecule: ribosomal RNA, 279 nt
Filed under: uncultured bacterium
Lineage: Bacteria
Description: partial 16S ribosomal RNA
Rfam family: Bacterial small subunit ribosomal RNA
Source: RNAcentral